ACUUCCCAUGGCAAAAGCCAGUAAGGCCCCUUGUAGACCACAAGGUUGAUAGGCGAGAGGUGUAAGUGCAGUAAUGCAUUCAGCUGACUCGUACUAAUAGGCCGAGGGCUUGUUCAG
This 117-nucleotide ribosomal RNA is filed under the name Clostridiales bacterium. RNAcentral describes it as "partial 23S ribosomal RNA". It matches the Rfam family "Bacterial large subunit ribosomal RNA", at positions 2809 to 2925 of the family's 2925-position model. Lineage: Bacteria; Bacillati; Bacillota; Clostridia; Eubacteriales. The record is from RNAcentral.